UACACUAAUGUGCAUGUAGUCUUUGCAGUGAUGAUGGCAUAAUUGUCACGAUAGAGCUAUCACAUUUUUUAUGCAUUCUCAAAGGUUGCAACGAAGAAGGCCCAUCAAGAGCUUUUGCCAUGGAUUUCAGCAAUAAGGAACCAUUUCUGAUACUGUUGUGGCAAUUGUGACAGCAAUGAAGUGAAACUUCGCCUUCUUUGGACCAGACUCUUACAUCACAUUGGGGAUGACCACCAGGACUGUGAUCAUGACAACAUAAUUGAACCAUUGAAUGGGAAGAAGUGGCUAGAGCCUGGCAGUAAUACUUUGUUAGCUCUUAGAGAGAUAGUCAUGGAUAGCAUCCUAUUAAAUUCUCUACACUAUUAUGUUCGGAACAGGCAUACUGGUAUGUUGGAGGUUUUCCACAAUGUGAUCUUGGAGUACUGUUGUAAGCGAAUUGUUACAAGAAUGAUGCUUUUGUUACCAGAUGUGAGCUGGCAUACUUAGAUUAUAAUGCACACCUAAACAGACCGUAGUUGAAGCGAAAAGAUGGUACCCAAGUUUUUGCUAGAAAAUGGGGUAAAAGGAAAAAGAUGUGGCAUGCAGUUCCAGUUCCUGAGUCAUAUUUGUAUAUGGAAGAGUUGCAAGCAAAAAUCAUGUGGAGACGACAUAUGGACAGGAAUUCAGGUGUGGCAAGGAGAGCUACCAAGGCAUUGGCAAGAAACAUUGGUUCAAAGCCAGCCCCUCCCACAACUGACCAUGUUGCACCACACGUGAAACGUGCAAAUAUGAAACAAAGUGAAAUUUAAUGCAGAGGCACCUUCCUGCAUCCAUCACAGACACACCACAAAGGACUCUCUUCAGAAACAGUGGACAUAUCAAUUUGGGCAGACAUUUCACUGACACGCUUCCAAAGUAGAGGGGACAUUUUGGCCAUGAGACAAACACGAUUUAUUACAUCAUCCUUCUCUAACCGGCUGCAUUGUUCCUGUCAAAGAUACUUUAAGCUAAGUGUCCUUUUUGAAUCUAUUAUUUCGUUCAAAAUGUAAGCCCUGGCAUAACCUGAGGAGCAGACAAUCAUAGAUAGAUGAAAAGCAAAUUUCUUCAAAAAAUUCAGUUAUGCAACAUUUUGCAUCAUUUUACUCAUUAUUUACUCCUUUGGUUUUUGUCAAUAACUUUUUUUGGCUAUAUUAUCUGAGGCAUUCUUCCGUUAGCAUAAAAGCUCAGGACAGCUUAAAAAAUCUGCUGACUAAGAGGUACAUCUUAUUUGAACAUCGCUAAAACGGUGAAAAAGAUGUCAAAAUUUACUUGAGAAACAGCUUAAAAGGCAGAAUAUACAAAUAAAGUCUCUGUGCUUUGUAAAUACCUUUAUACAUACCUUUAUAUACCUUUGCUUCAUUAUAAGCAGAUUCUGCUCUUUCUUGGUGUUCCUCUUGCAGCUCGUAAGGUCGUUUUCUUCUCUUUGCUAGUAAUUGCUACAUUAAUAUAAGGAUUUGUUAUACUAAAUGUUAAAACCAUUACCUUUUGACACAAAUGAUUCAUUACAUUAAGUCUAAUAAAUGUACAAUGGAGGGUAUAUUUCAAUAAUAAAUUCAUUGUAAUGAAUAUAGAAGAAUAAAUCAAAGUUCUAGACAUAGAGUUUAGAGAUUUGCCCUCCCAAAUAUAUAGGUAUCCAAAAAAGUGUAUAAAACCAUUUGUUGCAUUAUUAAACUAUUUCCUGCACCUGAUUUGCAUUGCUGUUUGUUGCAUUUUGUUCCGGUCGAUGGGAACACUUCUGCAGUGGACACCUGCAGACAUUUUCUUUGCAGUGGACAGCAGCAACUUUACAUUGGCAGUUUCGCUUGCAUGACCCUGUGCAGUUGCAGCUAACAUGAGUGAGGGCAUCAUCCUGAAAAGAGAAUGUCAAUAAAAACAAUCAGUUGGAGCAUACUUUAUUAGUAAUACAUUUCAACUUUAUUUGAAAAUUAGCAAAUACUUUAAACUGGAAAUGAUUUUAAAAGGUUUCAAUGUGUAUACAUUUAGUAGCAAGUACUACUUUGAACUCAUUAAUGACUUAGUCAUGAAAGUUUUUAACGUAUUAACAGAAUUGAUGAAAUUGUUGUCCAUGUUGAAUAUUAUUGGCUGCUAACUUGCAAGCAAAAAUAUUGUGUGUUGUGGUAAAGAAAACAAAAGGCGAAAUGUAUAAUGGCCGAAAAUUCAUAAGUAGCGGCCUCAAGGCAGGAAAUCAAGUUGUGGUCUACCAAUUCUGGUCUGAUAUCCCUUGAUAAACUCAUCUGCUCUAGGGUUUGGCCACUGUCGAGUUCACUAUACUCCUCUUGAUUAGGAGGCAGGCUAAAAUGAAAGAAAGGUAAACAAUAAACCUUUAGAUUUUCAUUUCCUAGAUAAUGUUUGUUUGAUCAAUGUUCUGUUACAACUGCAAAAACCUGUUUAUACCAUCUACUCUCUGAAGGCAUUCAACAAUAUAAAAAAACCAUCAUAUAAAAUAAUAUCAGACUCCUUCUCAGAAUAGCAAUUGACGCCAUUCACCAAGCAUGUGAUCGUUUCUUAGCCAUAUUAACAAUUUAUAAAAAAAAGAUAAUAAAGUCAAAUCAAAUUGCGUCCAGGGUUGUAAUUCAGCUGAAAUAGGUUGCUAUCUACUUGGCUGAAUUUGUUGGUGCAUAUUUUAUUUCUGCAUUUGCAGUGUUCUGGGCGGCAUUUUCUCCUGUUCAUGAGGCUAGGGCAUUUUCUAAUGCAUUUUCCAGAGCAAGCACACAUGAUUUCUUCAUCCAUGGUAUCAAUCCCUAUUCCUUGUCCAUUUGCCAUAAUUUCCAUUGUGUUGUCAUCAAACAAAGAGUUAUCAGCAGAAGUUGUGAUGCUUAUAUUCAAUCUGUUGAAAAAAUUGCGUAAGUUCUGAUGCAUAUCCUAUAAAUGAAUUAUAUACCCCCACACUUGUAAAUCAGUCAUUAAAACUUCCUUCCUCUUGGGCUUUCUCAAUAAUUUUCAUGAGGGAGGGAAGUUUUGUACAGUUUUGAAAGCAACAAAAAUUUAUGAAAUAAAUCUUGUCAAAUUUUUAUUCAUGCUUUAUGAGAGGGUGCUUUAUGGAGAAGCUAAUAUAUUUAGAGAGCUCCUCCUUAACCAGUUAGUCAUCAUGUUAAAUUCUAUUCCAGAAUUUUGUAACUUUAAUUUGUUUUUGUUGUAUGGUAUUUUUAACCAUUUUGUUUUCAUGAAAUUGUGUAGAAUUGUAUUUAGGACUGAUUGAUAGGUAAAUAAAUGAAAACUGUCUCAGUUAACGGAAUUGGAACUGGUACAUUUGGUACAUUUGAAACAAAAAUUUUAAAAAGGAGCUUUCAUAUUUUCCAUUACGAAAUAUGGAACUAACUGCUAACUGCCCACCGAAACCAGUUAGUAGAAAUUUGCUGAUUUCAUUGCCAAACAUCUCACAAAUUUAUUUGUCUUUUAAGAAGGAGUGGCGACAUUUAUCCAUAAACGUUCCAUUUUGGUUAACUGUGACAGACAUUUACUUUUCUUUGACCCUUGAUAUAAUUAGGCCAAUCUAAUUCGUAUUCAGAACGGUAUCUCACCUCCUAUUU
Rhopilema esculentum is the source of this 3548-nucleotide non-coding RNA. The record is from RefSeq and is a predicted model, not a curated record. NCBI's taxonomy places the organism in Eukaryota, Metazoa, Cnidaria, Scyphozoa, Rhizostomeae, Rhizostomatidae.